Molecule: ribosomal RNA, 44 nt
Filed under: Xerocomellus zelleri
Lineage: Eukaryota; Fungi; Basidiomycota; Agaricomycetes; Boletales; Boletaceae
Description: partial 18S ribosomal RNA
Source: RNAcentral
GGCCUUCCGUAGGUGAACCUGCGGAAGGAUCAUUAUCGAAUUUC